CGUGGGUAAUCUGCCCUCUGAUGGGGAAUAACUCGCCGAAAGGCGAGCUAAUUCCGCAUAACAUUCCUUGGACUCCGGUCCGAGGAUUCAAAGGCGUAAGUCGUCGGAGGUGGAGCCCGCGCACGAUUAGCUAGUUGGUGAGGUAAUGGCUCACCAAGGCUAUGAUCGUUAGCUGGUCUGAGAGGAUGGCCAGCCACACUGGAACUGAGACACGGUCCAG
This 220-nucleotide ribosomal RNA is filed under the name uncultured bacterium. Its description in RNAcentral is "partial 16S ribosomal RNA". It matches the Rfam family "Bacterial small subunit ribosomal RNA", at positions 116 to 334 of the family's 1533-position model. The record is from RNAcentral.